This 2023-nucleotide long non-coding RNA is filed under the name Homo sapiens (human). RNAcentral describes it as "HSALNT0160048". Lineage: Eukaryota; Metazoa; Chordata; Mammalia; Primates; Hominidae. The record is from RNAcentral.
CCAGGGCUGGCAAAUUCCACAUUCAAAAUCCAGGUGUGAACUGGAAUUUUCAAGAAUGACAGCCAGGAGCAUGCUGCCUCAGUACCCCCUGGGGAAAGAUAACUAACCCUCUUCAGUUCCAGUGAUCAAGACUGUCAUGGGAAAAUUAUGCUCUUUAAUGAACUUCAGCUCUAUCAGAUAAUUCAGCUACCGAGAAGGAAGCCACACAGAAGCUAGAGAUGCUGGGAGGAGGGGAGAUUCCUAAUGAGGACUUCAGGGAUCCCAGAUGCAGCCAUGCCUGAUGCUGAUGUGUCCUUGGCUAUUUUACUGCAUAUCCAGUUGAUUAUCUAUAAACUCCUACCCUAAGCCAAUUUAUUUUGAUUUCUGUCCUGACAAGUGAGAGCUCUAAUACUUACACUCUAUCAGGACAAUUGAAAGAAUAGAAGAAGGGAGGGAGGGAAUGGUAGGCUUGGAAAUCAGGACUCCUCCAGGAUGGCUUCAAAACAAACCCUUCUGCUCCUGCAGACCUUCUCUGGUCUGGCCCAUACUCCACAGUGAGACAGAAUCAGACUAGUCUCUGGAGGUAUGAAGGUACACGUAAAGUUUCUUACAAAGCCAAAAAAGAAAUUAUUUGGCUGGUUACUCAGCGUGAUGGUUAAUAUUGAGUGUCAACUUGAUUGGAUUGAAGGAUGCAAAGUAUUGUUCCUGAGUGUGUCUGUGAGUGUUGCCAAAGGAGAUUAACAGUUGAGUCAAUGGACUUGGGAGAGGCAGAACCACCCUCAAUCUGGAUGGGCACAUCUAAUCAGCUGGCAGCAUGGCUAGAAUAAAGCAGCCAGAAGAGAGUAGAAGGACUUGAUUGUUGAGUCUUCUGGCCUUCAUCUUUCUUCCAUGCUCAAUGCUUCCUGCCCUCAAACAUCAGACUCCAAGUUUUUCAGCUUUUGGACUCUUGGACUUAACACGAAUGGUUUGUCAGGGGCUCUCGGGCCUUCGGCCACAGACUGAAGGCUGCAUUGUUGGCUUCCCUACUUUUGAGGUUUUGGGACUCAGACUGGCUUCUCUGCUCCUCAGCUUGGAGAUGGCCGGUUAUGGGACUUCACCUUGUGAUCACUCUUUGGCCCUGCCUGCUCCCAGUUCAAGCUUGAUAAACUAUGAACUUGCAGCUCGUCUUAAUGGGUGGUAGAAGACUGUGCUCCAUUUCUCCUGGGACUUCAUGCUCAUUAGUCACAGACGUCAAUUAAAAGCUUUGUUAGAGAACCAGAGGAAUGUGCCACAGCACAUGUAGAGGCCCGGAAGCCCCUUUCACUUCUAACAUGGAUGAAUGAGUCCCCAUGGCAUGCGAAGCUGCACAUCAAUAGGUCGUGUGCAUCAGCAGACAGGAUCAACAAAAGCAGCGCAAAAAUGUUGAAGUCAGCACUUUCUGGAGCCAGCCCUAUUCAUUCCAACUGAUAAGGAUUUAAACAUUUUCAUUAGCUUUGCUGAUCCCAGUUAUUUAAAAUGACAAACACAUUAUCAUUAUUUUUAAAGCAAGUUACAUAAUCUAGGGUGCAACCCAGGCUUGAUAAUUUUCUAAAAAUGAUUAUUGACCCUUGCAUCCUCCUCCUGCAACCAUGAGGGGUCGAAUUGAGGUUAAUGUUCUGGCAAAUCCCUUAGGAUCCAGACUAACAACUGUUUUGGAAGAGAUUAUUGCCAUUGUAAACCACUGACCAGGGCCUGAGAUGGUAAUUCUUAAUUAAGAAAAUAAAAAGAUUCAGCGUCUCCGCUCUCAUCAUGCAGCUAACAACAGACUCCGCCUCAAUCCAAACACAGAAUAAAAUUCAGCAAAGGAUGGAUUUUAAAAAAUAAUUUGUUGUAGAUACUUAAUCUAAAAUAAUUUGGUGAGGCUUCAGAAAUAACUUUGGGUAUUGAGUAUGAGAAGAAUAUUUGCAAUAUUGUUCUUUUUGUAUGUGUGUGAAUUCUUUGUUUUUAUUCCAAUUGUGUCUUAUUGCUGACUUAUUACUAACAUGUUGCUUCCAAAGAGAAUUUUAGGGCAAAACAUUUCAAAAUU